RNAcentral lists this ribosomal RNA (254 nucleotides) under uncultured bacterium. RNAcentral describes it as "partial 16S ribosomal RNA". It matches the Rfam family "Bacterial small subunit ribosomal RNA", at positions 524 to 776 of the family's 1533-position model. The record is from RNAcentral.
UACGAAGGGGGGCUAGCGUUGCUCGGAAUUACUGGGCGUAAAGCGUGCGCAGGCGGCUUUGCAAGACAGAUGUGAAAUCCCCGGGCUCAACCUGGGAACUGCAUUUGUGACUGCAUGGCUGGAGUGCGGCAGAGGGGGAUGGAAUUCCGCGUGUAGCAGUGAAAUGCGUAGAUAUGCGGAGGAACACCGAUGGCGAAGGCAAUCCCCUGGGCCUGCACUGACGCUCAUGCACGAAAGCGUGGGGAGCAAACAGG